GACGAACGCUGGCGGCGUGCUUAACACAUGCAAGUCGAGCGAUGAAGUUCCUUCGGGAAUGGAUUAGCGGCGGACGGGUGAGUAACACGUGGGUAACCUGCCUCAUAGAGGGGAAUAGCCUUUCGAAAGGAAGAUUAAUACCGCAUAAGAUUGUAGCUUCGCAUGAAGCAGCAAUUAAAGGAGUAAUCCGCUAUGAGAUGGACCCGCGUCACAUUAGCUAGUUGGUGAGGUAACGGCUCACCAAGGCGACGAUGCGUAGCCGACCUGAGAGGGUGAUCGGCCACAUUGGGACUGAGACACGGCCCAGACUCCUACGGGAGGCAGCAGUGGGGAAUAUUGCACAAUGGGGGAAACCCUGAUGCAGCAACGCCGCGUGAGUGAUGACGGUCUUCGGAUUGUAAAGCUCUGUCUUCAGGGACGAUAAUGACGGUACCUGAGGAGGAAGCCACGGCUAACUACGUGCCAGCCGCCGCCGUAA
Molecule: ribosomal RNA, 478 nt
Filed under: uncultured bacterium
Lineage: Bacteria
Description: partial 16S ribosomal RNA
Rfam family: Bacterial small subunit ribosomal RNA
Source: RNAcentral